RNAcentral lists this ribosomal RNA (115 nucleotides) under Candidatus Falkowbacteria bacterium CG10_big_fil_rev_8_21_14_0_10_43_10. The record is from RNAcentral. Lineage: Bacteria; Candidatus Falkowiibacteriota.
CUUGGUGCUUUGAGCGGAGUGGGUACACCUGAUCCCAUCUCGAACUCAGAAGUUAAGCACUCCAGCGCCGAUGGUACUUGGGCUAGUUCCCCGGGAGAGUAGGCCAGCGCCAAGA